UCCUCGGUAGCUCAGUGGUAGAGCAUCCGACUGUUAAUCGGAUGGUCGCUGGUUCGAAUCCAGCCCGGGGAGCCA
RNAcentral lists this transfer RNA (75 nucleotides) under Alphaproteobacteria bacterium. Its description in RNAcentral is "tRNA-Asn". It matches the Rfam family "tRNA". Rfam says of the family: Transfer RNA (tRNA) molecules are approximately 80 nucleotides in length. Their secondary structure includes four short double-helical elements and three loops (D, anti-codon, and T loops). Further hydrogen bonds mediate the characteristic L-shaped molecular structure. tRNAs have two regions of fundamental functional importance: the anti-codon, which is responsible for specific mRNA codon recognition, and the 3' end, to which the tRNAs corresponding amino acid is attached (by aminoacyl-tRNA synthetases). tRNAs cope with the degeneracy of the genetic code in two manners: having more than one tRNA (with a specific anti-codon) for a particular amino acid; and 'wobble' base-pairing, i.e. permitting non-standard base-pairing at the 3rd anti-codon position. The record is from RNAcentral. Lineage: Bacteria; Pseudomonadati; Pseudomonadota; Alphaproteobacteria.